This 400-nucleotide ribosomal RNA is filed under the name Flavobacterium sp. WB4.3-16. RNAcentral describes it as "bacterial SSU rRNA". It matches the Rfam family "Bacterial small subunit ribosomal RNA", at positions 16 to 419 of the family's 1533-position model. The record is from RNAcentral. Lineage: Bacteria; Pseudomonadati; Bacteroidota; Flavobacteriia; Flavobacteriales; Flavobacteriaceae.
AUCCUGGCUCAGGAUGAACGCUAGCGGCAGGCUUAACACAUGCAAGUCGAGGGGUAUAUUUCUUCGGAGAUAGAGACCGGCGCACGGGUGCGUAACGCGUAUGCAAUCUACCUUUUACAGAGGGAUAGCCCAGAGAAAUUUGGAUUAAUACCUCAUAGCAUUGCAGGAUGGCAUCAUUCAGCAAUUAAAGUCACAACGGUAAAAGAUGAGCAUGCGUCCCAUUAGCUAGUUGGUAAGGUAACGGCUUACCAAGGCUACGAUGGGUAGGGGUCCUGAGAGGGAGAUCCCCCACACUGGUACUGAGACACGGACCAGACUCCUACGGGAGGCAGCAGUGAGGAAUAUUGGACAAUGGGCGCAAGCCUGAUCCAGCCAUGCCGCGUGCAGGAUGACGGUCCUA